UUCCUACGGGGCGCAGCAGUGAGGAAUAUUGGUCAAUGGCCGGAAGGCUGAACCAGCCAAGCCGCGUGAAGGACGAAGGUGCCAAGCAUUGUAAACUUCUUUUGUCAAGGGACAAAAUCAGGCUCGAGAGCCUGACCGAGGGUACUUGAAGAAAAAGCAUCGGCUAACUCCGUGCCAGCAGCCGCGGUAAUACGUAUGGGGCAAGCGUUAUCCGGAUUUACUGGGUGUAAAGGGAGCGCAGGCGGCUUGGCAAGUCUGAUGUGAAAGGCUGGGGCUCAACCCCAGGACUGCAUUGGAAACUGUUG
This 305-nucleotide ribosomal RNA is filed under the name uncultured bacterium. RNAcentral's name for it is "bacterial SSU rRNA". It matches the Rfam family "Bacterial small subunit ribosomal RNA", at positions 336 to 638 of the family's 1533-position model. The record is from RNAcentral.